CUCCCUAACCCUUAUGUGAACCUACCUAUUGUUGCUUCGGCGGACUCGCCCCAGCCGGACGCGGACUGGACCAGCGGCCGCCGGGGACCCUCAAACUCUUGUAUUAUCAGCAUCUUCUGAAUACGCCGCAAGGCAAAACAAAUAAAUCAAAACUUUCAACAACGGAUCUCUUGGCUCUGGCAUCGAUGAAGAACGCAGCGAAAUGCGAUAAGUAAUGUGAAUUGCAGUAUCCAGUGAAUCAUCGAAUCUUUGAACGCACAUUGCGCCCGCCAGCAUUCUGGCGGGCAUGCCUGUUCGAGCGUCAUUUCAACCCUCGACCUCCCUUUGGGGAAGUCGGCGUUGGGGACCGGCAGCACACCGCCGGCCCUGAAAUGGAGUGGCGGCCCGUCCGCGGCGACCUCUGCGUAGUAAUCCAACUCGCACCGGAACCCCGACGCGGCCACGCUGUAAAACACCCAACUUCUGAACGUUGACCUCGAAUCAGGUAGGACUACCCGCUGAACUUAA
RNAcentral lists this ribosomal RNA (507 nucleotides) under uncultured Beauveria. RNAcentral's name for it is "eukaryotic LSU rRNA". The stretch from base 151 to 304 matches the Rfam family "5.8S ribosomal RNA". The record is from RNAcentral. Lineage: Eukaryota; Fungi; Ascomycota; Sordariomycetes; Hypocreales; Cordycipitaceae.